Molecule: non-coding RNA, 31 nt
Filed under: Homo sapiens (human)
Lineage: Eukaryota; Metazoa; Chordata; Mammalia; Primates; Hominidae
Source: RNAcentral
UAAGGGCUAACACUAUGUUUGACAUACGCUU